GGAUUAACCAGGUGGACCCAAUGUAAUCUCAGGUUCCUUAAAUGUAGAAAAGGAAGGCAGAAGACUCAGUGGUAGAGUAAUGCAGUGUGAGAAAGAGUCAGCUGGAUAUUGCUGUCUGGGAGAUAGAAGAGAGCCACAAACAAAGGAAUGCAGGUGGUCUCUCGAAACUGCACAGGGCAUGAAAAUGGAUCCUCCCCUGGAGCCUCCAGGGAUAGAAAUCAGUGACACCUUGAGACCCAGUUUGGACUUCUGACCUCCAGAACUGCAACGUGAUACAUUUGCAUUGGUGUGAGCCACUAAUUUUGAGUUCUGGAGCCACAACUCAGAUAGGAUUCAAUUCAUUAUCGAACCCCUGGGCCUCUCAUCCAGGACCCCAGAGACUUUGUCUUCACUCAUGACUGAUCAGGUAACCAUUGAUGAGUCUGACUUCUGAUCCAGUCCUUCAGACAUCCAACCAUGAAAGCAUGGACUGGAGACCAGAAGUUCAACACAGGCCUCAAUGGGCUAAAGUCAAGUUAUUAGUAAGGCUGUAUUUAUUACUGGAGGCUUUGGGAAAAAAGUCUACUUCCAGACUCACUCAAGUUGUCUGACAAAUCCAGUUCCUUGCAGUUGGAGGACUUAAGCCCUUGUUUUCUGAAUGGCUGUCAGCUGGCAGCUGUCCUUAGCUCCCGGAGGCCUCUCUCUGUCCUUGCGUGUGGACCCCUUCAUCUCAAAGCCAGCAGCAGUGCGCUGAAUCCUUUUGUUCUACUGCAUCUCUCUUCUGCUUGCAAAUGGAGACGGUUACUUACUUUUAACAACUCAUGCGAUUAUUCUGAACCCACUUGGAUGAUCCAGGGUAACCUCCCUAUUUUAAGAUCUGUAAGCUUAAUUGCACAACAAAGUCCCGUUGCCAUGUAAUGUAACAUAUUCGCAGAUUCCAGAGAUUGGAGCAUGCACAUCUCUGAGGCGCUAUUAUUCUGCCAACCAUACUCAUGUUUUCUUUACUACUCAUUUGAUUAUUUAAGUGACCAAUGUCAAAACAAUAAAUAGCUCAAACUUUGUGUGUUUUAGAAUAUUUUAAACAAAGCCAAAAUGACCCUUAGAAUCUUGGGAGGAGCUUCUUUGCUCCUCAAGCAUUUUAUUUGCUUUU
Molecule: long non-coding RNA, 1129 nt
Filed under: Equus asinus (donkey)
Lineage: Eukaryota; Metazoa; Chordata; Mammalia; Perissodactyla; Equidae
Description: lncRNA (ENSEASG00005034889.1)
Source: RNAcentral